Molecule: long non-coding RNA, 812 nt
Organism: Crotalus tigris (Tiger rattlesnake)
Lineage: Eukaryota; Metazoa; Chordata; Lepidosauria; Squamata; Viperidae
Exons: 3
Source: RefSeq, a predicted model, not a curated record
AAAGCGCAAACCCAAUCCUCCAUUACCACAAAUUAUGCAGUCGAGUUUCCCGCAUUUGGGGAAAUCGCAGGGGUCAGCAGACCUGUAGUGCAAUGGAUGAGCUUCAACUUGGGAAAACCUCCUUCGUGAUCAAGAUGCUGGGAGUCAAAUAACAGAUCCCUCACUAGUCCUACCCCUCUGACCAUUUUAUUUUAUUUUAUUUGUAUCCUGUUUUUUUAUUAUUUUUACAAAUAAUUCAAGGUAGCAAACAUAUCCAACACACAUCCCUUCUCCUAUUUGCCCCAUUACAACAACCCUGUAAGGUGGAUUGGGCUAAGAGAGAGAGAGAGACUGGUCCAAGUCACCCAGCUGGCUUUCAUAGCUCAGUGGAAUUUGAACUCACAGUCUCCCAUUCAUAUUUCUUAUAAGAUUUUACUUUCCUGGCCCCUUCUCAUCUCAUCUCAUCUCAUCUCAUCUCAUCUCAUCUCGUGUAACUUCCGGACACUUUCCAGUUGGUCAAUAUCCUUCUUGAUUGCACUACAGGGAGCCCGAUGCAAUAAAGCUGAGAUCUGUGGUGUGCUGCUCAACAUUUCUUUCCAGCUUGAGGCACGACCACACUCACUGGGUGAGAUUGUUCAACAGACCCUGUAGCCAUCUAAUAGUUUACUAGAAUCUCAUGAGAACUCUGUAAAGCAUUUUGCUGGAGUCAAGGACACUGCAUCUACCACAUCCUCUAGUCUAGACUGUUGUGAUUCCUCGCCAGCCAGUGGAUCCGGCAACUGAGUCUGAAGAAUCAGAGGAGGAGGAGGGGCCUGGAGUGACAUUAGAGUCAG